GCGCGAAAACUCUACAAUGCAGGCAACUGCGAUAGGGGAACAUCGAGUGAUCCUCAUAUUGGGGGUCUGUCCACCCGUCUAAAAAACGGGUGUUAGCAAGGGCCGGGCAAGACCGGUGCCAGCCGCCGCGGUAAUACCGGCGGCUCGAGUGGUGGCCGAUAUUAUUGAGUCUAAAGGGUCCGUAGCCGGCUUUGCAAGUCUCUCGGGAAAUCCAGCGGCUUAACCGUUGGUCGUCCGGGGGGUACUACAUUGCUUGGGACUGGGAGAGGUAGGAGGUACUCAGGGGGUAGGAGUGAAAUCCUGUAAUCCUUUGGGGACCACCGGUGGCGAAGGCGUCCUACCAGAACAGGUCCGACGGUGAGGGACGAAAGCUAGGGGCACGAACCG
This 387-nucleotide ribosomal RNA is filed under the name uncultured bacterium. Its description in RNAcentral is "bacterial SSU rRNA". It matches the Rfam family "Archaeal small subunit ribosomal RNA", at positions 339 to 726 of the family's 1478-position model. The record is from RNAcentral.